Long non-coding RNA from Bactrocera neohumeralis, 5914 nucleotides. RefSeq lists it as uncharacterized. Lineage: Eukaryota; Metazoa; Arthropoda; Insecta; Diptera; Tephritidae. The transcript has 4 exons. The record is from RefSeq and is a predicted model, not a curated record.
ACUUACAGAAUAGCAAAAUCGUCUCAAGUCACAAAAAUUGUCCCUAUUUUAAAAUCUCAACUCCAUUGCAAAUAUUUUGUUUCUUCUUCACGCCAAAUCCAAUUGCAAUGAUUGUGGAAGAAACUAAUCGGGCAGCUAUUGCAGAAACCAUCCAAUCACAAUUCAGCGUAGACGUUGAUGACAUUGACCAUUAUAUGUGACCUGGCCUAUGAAAAGGGAGCUAACGUGCGAAAACUAGUUUUCUGGGAAAAGCUGUUAAAAAUAAUCGUCAGUUUCUCGUUAUCUCAUUAAUUGUUCUCCUUUUUUUUGACACCUAAGCCCGCUUUCCGAAGACCAGGUCACAUAUUAUGAUUUUGAGUAAACAUGCAUUUGCACCAAUUAGAAAUUGUGAGAUUCGAACAAAAUUUGAAACCAUAAAGCAAUAUUUAUCAUUACUUAAUGCAAGUAAACGGAGGAAAAAAGAUCAAAUUAUACGAAAAUACAACGUCAUAUGGGUGACGUCUAUUUAACGGGCUCUUUGAUCGUUACCAUAUAAGAGUAAAAAACAAAGAUACGCCAAUAAGGUAUUUUACCAUUUGGUUAAUAUGAUGACAAUUUAUUGUACAGUAAUCAAAUUUAUAAAAUUAAUGACCUUAAAGGGCUUUUAGAAACGAACCGGAAUUUCGGGAAGUCAUCGCUGCAGGCUGCAGGCCUGUCCUAUAAAGCAAAGCAGACAGUUGGCUGGCCAGCAUGUUCUCUACAAACAAGUCCGUCAAAAAUUGGCUGCAAAACUGUUCAUGCUGUUGUAGAUAUCCGAUAGAAAUUGAGAUAUCUUGAUGAAACUUGUUAUGCAAGAGCCUUAGUACAAAAAAAAGUUCCGAGUUCGUAGAUUGGCCCCGCCCUCUAAUAAGUUUAAUGUGCAUAUCUCCCAAACUGCUUAAGCUACAACAACCGAAUUCGCUCAGCGAGAAUACUACAAAAACUCCUACCUAUAGUGUAAAAAUAGACGAAAUCGGAUAAAAAUCCCGAUCACUCCCCAUAUAACGGUACUGUUCAAACCUACUAAAAGCGCGAUAAAUCAAUAACUAAAUGUGUCAGAGACGUAAAAAUUUGCCGCCGGGAUGGAAUGACAAUGCUUUAUUUGACGAUCGGCGUGGCACCGCCCAAUUUUUGGUAAUAUCCCAUAUCUCGGAACCCGACUGACCGAUUUCAACAAAAUUUGAUACGUGGCAUUUUUUUCAUGUUUCUAUGUCACGUUGUGAAAAUGAGCGAAAUCAGACAACAACCGCGCCUACUUCCCAUAUAUUAUCGUUCCGUUACCAGUAAGCAAUUAAUUUAACGGGAUUAAACUUUGCACGAAUAAUGCCCUUAGUGUAUGCCACCUUAUGACUCAAAAUUGUUAAAAUGCAACAAAAACUGUUCACGCCCCUAGGUACCGAAUAAUUUGACCGCCGUACCUAUAGUUGACUUUUUUUUUAGAAAAUAUCGGUCAAUGUCUGAGAUAUAUAAUUGAAAUUCGUGGAUAGUACUUUUUUGAAAAUGGUAUGUCCGUAUGUCAAAAAUACUAUAUAUUGUAUAAACACAUUUUGUCGAAAUCAAAGGUUCAAACUUACUCAAAAAGAAUUAUUAUUAAAAUUUUGGUAAUUAUUUUAGAAGCCAGAUUUUGAGGGUUUAGUCUUUUUUAUUACAAAUAUUAGAAUUGAGUAAUUUAGACAGAAGUUACCGAUAGCAUACCAGAUAGCAUAUUCGUUAAUCAUUCAUCACCAUUAUUUUAUUUAUUGAUAAUAAUGUUUUUAGAAUUAUCGACAUUCCCAGGUCUUCUUAAAUACAGAUUUAUUAUCUCAAAAUAAGAAAAUAUUAAAACACAGUUCUGAAUUUGCUUUUAUGUAUAAAAAAGUAAAAAUUCUUCAAUUUAUAAAAAUAUACCGAUGAUAUAUAGAUUCCAAAUGAUUAAAAAUUGAUACUUCCUUUUCCUGUCAUGGUCCGUAGAUUAGUAGAGUUUCUUGUUUUAUCCCUCAAAUAUAUGAGGGGAGACAUAAGUACUUUCCGUAUACUGGCCAUAGUAAUGUCUCUCAAAUGCCAUUAUAUUAUGAUGGAAGCGUUCUCGUCGUUCUUCCGAAUAUGUGUAUCUAGACAGAUUCUAGAUCCUAUGAUGGUGAAAUUCGUAAUCAUGUCAGUGAUCAACUCGUCAUAAUUGGCAACUUUAUCCAAGGAAACCAUGGGCUUACUGCCUUAGAACUUCUCUAGGCCUUUUUCUCCUCAUUGCUAAGUAACAUCGGGAAAAUAUCACCAUCCAUAAUUUUCUUUAUUUUAGGGUCUACAAAGAUUCCAUUCUUCAAAUAUCCUUCACCGGCAACAACGCGUGAAGACCGGCAUUAUAAAAGUGGGAAAAUCAAACAUUAUCUAAUCACUAUAAUUGCUUAAAACAAAUAUUUUUCAUUUGUAAUCCUGUGCAACGUCAAGUAGAUACCGAAAAUUUUCCUAAAUCACCGAUUUUGAAAAUUAGGUGAGGAACAACACGCAUAAACGCAGAUAAAUCGAUGAAAUUUUGUGAACUCAAAGAAAAACGUUAGUGCUUUAUUAUAGUUAUAUUUUCACGGUAAAUUUGAUUAAAUAAUAGUGCUUUACUGCUUUUCGUUAAAGAAUUAAAAAUUUUCAUGCGUUCUUCAAAAAAAAUUGCAAAGUAUGUAUCGCAACGCGAAAUGCCAUUCCGCAGAUAUUGAAUUUUUUGUCCCCCAACCGGCUUUCUCAACGCAGGGUGCUUAGCGGCGAACAGAUUAUGAUUUCUGGGCUGUGGGGUCCAGCACUAGAUUGUUAUAGAAGAUGUUUCUAAAUUAUUAUUAAAAUUCCUUUUCCAAAUCAAUGUUGCAAUGCUUUAGGAAUAAGGAGUCAUAAUUGCAUACGACAUAAUUUAUAUUUAAAUAAUGCUACGAGGGAAAACUAUUUUAAACCAAAAUUCUGAAAAUAUUCAUCAAAGUUUAGCGUAAGUUUGUUUAAUUUUUUUUAUAAUAAUACGUAAUGUCAACAAACAAAAACUCAUUAACAGAAAAUGCAGAGAAAAAAUAUGCAUACUUUAUUUUCAGUGCUGACCAAGAAAAAUCAUCAGACGAGCUUUCUCAAUCCAAAAAGAGUUUCUUGUGGUUAUUCAGAUUUUCUAAACGAAGUUGCCGACGGAUCGUUUAAUUAUGGUUCACGCAAUUAAGAAAAGUUCUUUGAUUGCCAUUCACUUGGGAGUAGCCAAAAACGAUUAUUUUACACAUGGCUUAAACAGCUUACGACUUCCAGUCCUAGACAAAGUAUCCUCUGAGUAGCCAAAAAACAUCCUUUUGAAUGCAAAAAAAUUUAGCAGCCGAACCAUCCCUCCCCAGGGUUGUGCGUUGGGAUUGGGACCCGCCACGUAAUAAAUGUCCCCAAUGAAAACUAAACAACAGCCUUGGAAUAGUUUCUAUAGUUUACAAUUGUGUAAUACAAAAGUAUCAAAUUAACCGAAUGUGGAUGGAAUUAUCCGAGUAGGUCCUGAGAAAUAAUAUAUCAUAUAAAGGUGGAGGUAGACAAACUGAUCGACAAGGGUAAUGCUCGAAAAUUCUACGAAAAUAUGCGGCGACUAACAGAAGGUUUCAAGACCGGAGCAUACUCUUGUAGAACCCCCAAGAGUGAUGCCCAGAUCAUACUACAAUUAUGGAGGGAAAACUUCUCCAGCCUGCUGAAUGGCGGUGAAAACUUAACACUAGGAGGUAUCAAACCCGAUUCCCCAAUCGAUGACGAUGGAGCAGACGUUCCAUUGCCCGACCAUGAAGAAGUUCGAAUAGCAAUUACCAGUAUGAAGAACAACAAAGCGGCAGGGGCCCGUGAAUUGCCGACCGAGCUAUUCAAAUACGGUGGCGAAGAACUGAUAAGGAGCAUGCAUCAUCUUUGUAGAAUAUGGUCGGACGAAAUCAUGCCCAAUGAUUGGAAUUUAAGUGUGCUCUGCCCAAUCCACAAAACGGGAGACUACGCGCCGUUAGUUUUGCUUUUUCCAGAAUAGAUAAUGAAGCGAAGCAAAUGGGUCUGGUGGAGAAUGAGGGAAGACAAUAUAUUCCCUGUUGAAUAUUUGGAUGCCCAAUUUAGUGGGAAGCAUCCACCACUUUACUUUCAGUUCAAUAAGCACCCAGUAUUUCGGCAAAGGAAAACACAUUAAUUUAAAAGAUAUUAAACACUUUAGGGUUCACUUUAUUGAAAUCAGGUAUGUAAAUAUGAUUGCGCAUGUUAACGGCGACGCACGCAGGACCGCUGAUAUUCGAAUUAUAUCCGUAGCGCACAGGACUGGCAGGGAGCAGGAACCGUAUGGUGACGUUGUUAGCGAAAAUUGCGACGCGCGGGAUGGGUGUCGGAAAACGAAUAUGUAUGCUGUAAUUUUGUCCAUCCCGUUUGUUAAUGAGGUUGGUGUAUAGGUGUGGUUAGUUGUGUUGAUGUAUGAAUAUGGUGUCAUCGAAUGUGGUGUACUGCGCAGUGUUUCCUUAGGGUGCGCCAGUUUUUCCCAGGUUGAGUGAGGGGGGAGGCUUAGGCGGGUAUUGUCACUUGCGAAGCGAAUUUAUUUGGCGAAGCGAAAGGUUUGGCGAACAUACCCCAAAUUUGCAUUGUGAAUGGCGAAUUAACGUAUUCGCUAAAAUAUGUCGUUGCCAUUCAUGAAAAAAGUAGCGCGUUCUACCGAAUUUGACAUUUGUGUCAUUUAUACUUAAAAAUAUGUAUUAUUAUAUCAACUGAAAUUCGAAAAUAUGUUUAAUAACGCGGAUCUGUAUUUUGAGGAUAAUUACGAUGUGGAAACGCGAACUAAUCUUCGACAGCGCCGUUUUAUUAGAGAUAAUUCUAAUCCUACAGAGCUACCUAACACGGUAUUCGUUGCGAAUUCCCGCUUAAACAAGGACGCAUUUAUGUAUGUGCUGGAUAAAAUCAAAGACAAAUUUCAUUGUCGGAUGUCUUCCAUAACGCCGAUGUUAUAAUUGUGUGCCGCGCUCAGAUUUUUUGGACAUGGCAGUUACCAACAAGCUAUAGGGAAUGAAUUUCAGUUGGGACUUGCUCAGCCAACAGUUUCCCUUAUUUUAAAAGAGAUCAUACCCAUUUUGGAAAAUAAAAUUUGUCGUACCCAUAUAAGCGUAGAUAUGAGUGAAGAAGAAAAGCAGCAGGAAAGGAGCAAAUUUUAUUCAUGAUCGGGAAUACCAAAUGUAAUAGGCUGCAUCGAUGGAAUCCAUAUUGCGAUUUAUGUUCCUACCACAAACAAACACCUCUAUCUAAACAGAAAAGGAUCAUAAAUGCAAUGAUUGCUUGUGAUCAUGAUAUGAAUAUCCGUUUUGUGGAUGCUAGAUAUGCUGGUUCUACACACGAUUCGUUCGUAUGGAACAAUAGUUCUCUAAAGGCAUGUUUAGAGGCAGCGCAUCAAAACGGAGAUCAGAACUCUAUUUAUUUAGGUGACUCCGGAUACCCACUAAGCCCUUAUUUAUUAACACCUUUCCGUCAUGCAGAAUCUGGAACUAGGGAGUCAAUUUUUAAUAAGAACCACGCGAAAGCGAAAAAUGUUGUUGAACGUACGAUUGGAGUUUUGAAAUGCCGUUUCAGAUGUCUUCUGAGUGAUAGGAAAAUGCGCUACGAUCCUGCUAAAGUAACAUCCGUUAUUAAUGUAUGCUGCGCCUUGCACAGCAUUUGUAAAAAAAUUAGAAUCGGUGAUCUGGAGAUCGCCGCAGAAGACAAAUUGCUGAUGAUUUGAUGUAAAUGAAACUAUACCGACUUCAGUGAAUAAUAUAUUGUAUUCUUUUAUUUUAUUCAAUACUUUAAAAUUCAAUAUUACAUAGAUAACAAAUAUAUAAAAAUUACAAAAACUACAUGCUCUUAAAUUAAAUUAAAAAAAUCACAGAUUCAAUUCCGUUACUUACAAUAAUAAAGUAAAAAUAAAUUCAUCACA